AUUCAGGUGACGAGUCCCAUAUAGGAUGAAAUGCGCAUCGGGAAU
RNAcentral lists this non-coding RNA (45 nucleotides) under Trichobilharzia regenti. Lineage: Eukaryota; Metazoa; Platyhelminthes; Trematoda; Strigeidida; Schistosomatidae. The record is from RNAcentral.